This 253-nucleotide ribosomal RNA is filed under the name uncultured bacterium. RNAcentral's name for it is "partial 16S ribosomal RNA". It matches the Rfam family "Bacterial small subunit ribosomal RNA", at positions 524 to 776 of the family's 1533-position model. The record is from RNAcentral.
GACGGAGGCUGCAAGCGGUGCUCGGAAUUACUGGGCGUAAAGAGCGUGUAGGCGGUCUGAUAAGUCGAGUGUGAAAGCCCGAGGCUCAACUUCGGAAGGGCACACGAAACUGCCAGGCUUGAGUACGGGAGAGGGAAGUGGAAUGCCUGGUGUAGAGCUGAAAUUCGUAGAUAUCAGGAGGAACACCGGUGGCGAAGGCGGCUUCCUGGACCGAUACAGACGAUGAGACGCGAAAGCGUGGGGAGCAAACAGG